GAGGAGCUUGCUCCUCCGGAUUAGUGGCGAACGGGUGAGUAACACGUGAGCAAUCUGCCCUUGACUCUGGGAUAAGCGCUGGAAACGGCGUCUAAUACCGGAUACGACCCGCGGAGGCAUCUCCUGCGGGUGGAAAGAACUUCGGUCAAGGAUGAGCUCGCGGCCUAUCAGCUUGUUGGUGAGGUAAUGGCUCACCAAGGCGACGACGGGUAGCCGGCCUGAGAGGGUGACCGGCCACACUGGGACUGAGACACGGCCCAGACUCCUACGGGAGGCAGCAGUGGGGAAUAUUGCACAAUGGGCGCAAGCCUGAUGCAGCAACGCCGCGUGAGGGACGACGGCCUUCGGGUUGUAAACCUCUUUUAGCAGGGAAGAAGCGAGAGUGACGGUACCUGCAGAAAAAGCACCGGCUAACUACGUGCCAGCAGCCGCGGUAAUACGUAGGGUGCAAGCGUUGUCCGGAAUUAUUGGGCGUAAAGAGCUCGUAGGCGGUCUGUCGCGUCUGCUGUGAAAACCCGAGGCUCAACCUCGGGCUUGCAGUGGGUACGGGCAGACUAGAGUGCGGUAGGGGAGAUUGGAAUUCCUGGUGUAGCGGUGGAAUGCGCAGAUAUCAGGAGGAACACCGAUGGCGAAGGCAGAUCUCUGGGCCGUAACUGACGCUGAGGAGCGAAAGCGUGGGGAGCAAACAGGCUUAGAUACCCUGGUA
Molecule: ribosomal RNA, 706 nt
Filed under: Agrococcus sp.
Lineage: Bacteria; Bacillati; Actinomycetota; Actinomycetes; Micrococcales; Microbacteriaceae
Description: bacterial SSU rRNA
Rfam family: Bacterial small subunit ribosomal RNA
Source: RNAcentral